RNAcentral lists this ribosomal RNA (1145 nucleotides) under Lactobacillus vermiforme. Its description in RNAcentral is "bacterial SSU rRNA". It matches the Rfam family "Bacterial small subunit ribosomal RNA", at positions 42 to 1161 of the family's 1533-position model. Lineage: Bacteria; Bacillati; Bacillota; Bacilli; Lactobacillales; Lactobacillaceae. The record is from RNAcentral.
GNNNGGUCUAUACAUGCAAGUCGAACGCUUCCUCCCAAAUUGGUUUCUAUGCUCCGCCUAAAUGAUUUUUGGGUUCAAAGGGAGAGUAGCACUGGGGAGACCCGCCUGGGUAACCUGCCCCCACUUGGGGGAUGGUUUUGGAAACAAGAACUAAUACCGCAUAAUGGUUGGAUUUGCAUGGCUCUUUUUGAAAGAUGUGACUGAUGGACCUUUGGGAUGGACCCUCGCCGGAUAGGUUACGUGUCGAGAUAAAAACCAUGCAUAACCAAGAUGCGAGGGCGACCUGACAGGGUAAUACUGAACCUUGGGACUGACUCAUAGGGCAGACUCCUACAGGGAAUCUUCGUAGAUGGUCUAAAGUCUUGGACAAAAGUCUGAUGGAACUGCACCACGUGAGUGGAGAAGGUUUUCCUGUCGUUAAACUCUGUUGUUAAAGAAAAACACUGGUCAUCCCUUCAGUGAACCCUUUGACAGUGUCUCACCUAACUACCUCCCAUAACUCCCUGCCAUCCGCCGCGGGAAUACGUAGGUGGGAUGCAUUGUCCGGAUUUAUUGGGCGUAAAGCUUGCUAAGGCUGAUUUGAAAGUCUGCUGUUCAAGCCCUCAGGUUAACUGAAGACUGGCAGAGGAAACUGCAAAACAUGAGAGCGGAAUACCAUGUGGAAACUCCAUGUGUAUAGAUGAAAUGAGGAGCUCCAUGGAAGAACGCCGCUGUCUAGGGCGGCUUUGAGGCUGGUGAUUGAAACUGAGGGUCGAAAGCAUGAUUAGAUAACCUGAUUAGAUACCCCGGAAACCAAGGCCGCUAACGAUGAAAAGUAUUCCUCCCAUGGUUUCCGCCCUUCACGGCUGCAGCUAACCCCCUGAGGAUUCCGACCGGAGAGUACAACCUCAAGGGAAAAACUCGAAGGACUUGACGGCGGCCCACCCAGUGGGUGAAGUAUGUGCUUCAAUUCGAAGCUUCCCAGGUAUUCUUACCAUUUCUUGACUUCUUAUGUCGACCUUACACAAUCGGGGGUUACACUGUCCGGGACAUAAUUGACAUUGUGGUGCAAUGUGUUGUCGUCAGCACUGCUUGGUGCGUUAAGUUUGCCGUGCGAGACGUAGGCGUCCACGCCCAUAUCGAAUGGGCGUUAAGNNNCGCCUNAA